Molecule: long non-coding RNA, 919 nt
Organism: Rhinopithecus roxellana (golden snub-nosed monkey)
Lineage: Eukaryota; Metazoa; Chordata; Mammalia; Primates; Cercopithecidae
Exons: 3
Source: RefSeq, a predicted model, not a curated record
AGUGACUCAGGUUCAGAAAAGGAGUGGCUCUCAACCAGAGGCAAUUUUUCCCUCCAGGUACACUUGCUAAUGUCUGGACACAGUUUUGGUUGUUACGACUGGGCUGGUGAUGCUGGAGCAAUGGCAGCCACCGGAAACCCCAAGGCGAAGGCCAGAGAAUCCCAAAGACGCAGACAGAGACCUCUUAGAACUGGAGAGUAACCCAAGUUGGAGUUGCCUUUUCUGGACUUCUUGUUAAGUCUGAUGGGGUUCAUCACAUCUGAGCCAGGACUGGCUUUUCUUGGCUGCAAGCUGGGUCCAGGUCUGCUAUACUGAGGGUCUCCCAUCUUCCUUGGACCAGUGACAACCAGAGGCCUAUUUCUGUCAUAAUGGAAGGCAGGAGAACAAGCAGGCAAGACCAGCUGUGCUAGCACAUGCUGCCUCUCUGCCUACAUCACACCUGCUAAUGUCCCAUUGGCUAAAGCAAGUCACACAAGCAAACCCGACAUCAACAGGACAAGGAAACAGACUCCACCUCUAGAGGCACAAACUACAAAGUCACAUGACACAGGGCAUGGAUUUAGGGAAGGAAGAUGGAGAAUGACAACAAUGACCCUCAAUAACACAACCUCCCACAGGUUUCCAAAUCCCCAUCCCAGGCAUAUUUCCAAGGAAACUGAAUCAUGGGUUCAGGAUUUUAGAGCAAGCAAUUUCUGUUCUCCCAGCUUAGUUUCCACACCCUUAACACAGGGGCAAUGAUGUUGCAUCAAAUCGUAUCUUAGAAGUUUGUGAUGACGUUUAAACAACUAAAUGCCAAAAAAGUGCUUAGGUCAGGGCUGGGUAGGAGGGGCAGAAGCCAAUGGUAACAAGUAGCAUCACUGUUAACCCGCAAAGUUCUGGGAAUUUCCUUGAAAGUCUGAUUAGAGAAUCAUGUCCCCAA